Molecule: long non-coding RNA, 852 nt
Organism: Corythoichthys intestinalis (scribbled pipefish)
Lineage: Eukaryota; Metazoa; Chordata; Actinopteri; Syngnathiformes; Syngnathidae
Exons: 5
Source: RefSeq, a predicted model, not a curated record
AUAAAACUGUAGGUAGUUAAAUAUUAGUGCUGACUUUAAUCAUCUUUAAUCAUCCACAGAUAUUGUAAAAUUGAAAAGGACGUGAGAACGAGGCAUUUUUGUGACACCAAGCAGUGUUAAAUCCCAGAAACUGAGACAGGUGAUGAAAACAAGGCCAGACUUUCCUGCCGAUCAGUGGAGAUGGCGAACUGGAGCCAUCAUAAUGGCUAAUUCUUCCCCUCCUGGCCCAGGGAGCAGGAAAAGAAGCGAGACGGAUCAUGUGACUGGCACCUUCGACGGUCAUUUUGCUUUGCUCAGCCAAAACCACCCGAGGACCGAAGCGGCAAGAAGGAUAUACGUAAUUUUUUUCAAACCAAAGCUUUCAAAAGCGACAACUACUGAGCAAGAACCAAGGAUUGAUAAUGUGGACCAUGAAACACCAGAGAGCACCGCCAAAAUGGUCAGACGAGUGGAGCGGCCACACCUGCGGGCAAUUAACAUCAGCCAGCUUUAAAAGCUAAGCAGACGCUCCACCUCGUCGCCCGAUCAACUCGUCUGGUUUCGCCGUCCUGUCCUCUGCGCGCUCCUUGUCGGAUUCUACGCCUGCCUCCUUCCGAGCUUCCACGCCUGCCUCCUCCCGAGCGCCCACGUCUCACGCCGGCUCAAUUACCCCACACGAAGCAACCUCCAUCCGCCACGCUAUCUCUGGUGUCUGUAAAUAAAUAUUACUCACAACAACCAGUUUGUCUGCACUGGGAUCCCCUCCUGCUCACGCACCCCUAACAGUAUGUGUGUAUCCCAACAUCAUUUUCAUUCGCCCCUUGUGUUCCGACAGCUUAGAUGAGUGUAAUAACUUUUAUUCUUUAUUCUUGA